RNAcentral lists this long non-coding RNA (773 nucleotides) under Nicotiana benthamiana. RNAcentral's name for it is "long non-coding RNA (NBEN_LNC033325)". The record is from RNAcentral. Lineage: Eukaryota; Viridiplantae; Streptophyta; Magnoliopsida; Solanales; Solanaceae.
AUUAAUUCUUUUGAUAGAUUGUUGACUAUAUGAUUAGAUUCUUGAAGCUCAAAUAAGAAUUCACGACUUUAUGGAUUUACCAAUUAGAAUGUCUUCGAUUUAGAUCCUACGGACUUGGAAAUUUUGCUCUAUGUUGCAAGAUCUGUCAUAAAAACUUGAAGAGGUGUCAUCCACUUAUGUAAUUUUGUAUCUUCUGUCUAUUUAUUUGGUUAUUAAUCUUUUUCAGUGGAGUCAAAUUUAUUUGAUCUAUUUUGGAACGUAUCAGUACCUCAAAUGAGCCUCUAAUUUGCCUUUUCACAUUCUCGGAAGGACUUUCUUUCAAUACAUGCACCUAAUCUUUUUUUCGGGAAUUGUAAGCUACUUUCUGGUGAAUGCUUAAAGGAUUUUGCUUCUCUGUGUCCAAAAUUUUUAAGAUUUUUAUGUUAAUGUGCUGUUGAUAUACAAGACUUUGUAUGAAUAUACAGUGAUCGGUAUAAAAUACUGAAGAAAAUUGGCUUUUAAGGAAAGUACUUCGAUUUGAACAAUAACCGUGUAGAAAGAUGAAUUCCUCCCACGCUUGGCAUAUUUCAAACAUUCUGGAAAUGUUAAGUGCACUUUGAGUUGUCAUUGUCAGUACGUAGGUUAAGGCUGUUGGUUGUCGCGGUUCCGAACCGGAACCGGACUGGAAUCAUGGCCCUGCCGGUUCUGCUGGUUCCGGCGGCCCGAUUCCGGUGGUUCCGGUUCUACCGGUUCCAGGGAACCGUCAUGGGCCGGUUCUACCCGUCGGAACCGCC